Stygiomarasmius scandens is the source of this 89-nucleotide non-coding RNA. Lineage: Eukaryota; Fungi; Basidiomycota; Agaricomycetes; Agaricales; Campanellaceae. The record is from the annotation of a GenBank genome assembly.
GGGGGUAUAGCUCAGCUGGGAGAGCAGCAGACUGAAGCACUCGAACUUGACCAUUCUGAAGGUCCCGCGUUCGAUCCGCGGUACCCCCA